GGAGGGGUGGCAGAGCGGUUGAAUGCGGCGGUCUCGAAAACCGUUUUGGGGGUUAAGCCUCCAACGAGGGUUCGAAUCCCUCCCCCUCCG
This 90-nucleotide transfer RNA is filed under the name Thermoleophilaceae bacterium. RNAcentral describes it as "tRNA-Ser". It matches the Rfam family "tRNA". Rfam says of the family: Transfer RNA (tRNA) molecules are approximately 80 nucleotides in length. Their secondary structure includes four short double-helical elements and three loops (D, anti-codon, and T loops). Lineage: Bacteria; Bacillati; Actinomycetota; Thermoleophilia; Thermoleophilales; Thermoleophilaceae. The record is from RNAcentral.